UCUGUAUACCCAUUUAACUCCAAUCACAUUUUUAUUUAUUGGUCUAUCAACUAGCACCGAAGUAUCAUUUUUCUAAAUCAUGGCUAGCUCCUCCUUCAUUGCUACCAUCCAAUCUUGUGAACUUGCCGCUUUAAAAAAUUUAGAAGGUUCCAACAUGGUUGAAUUGCAGCUAGCGUACACAUCUGCAAGUGAUCUUGUUCUAAUCACUGCAUUUCUUGAAUCUGAACCACAAUCAGAUUCUGCUUCAUCCUUACUAAUAAUGGCAUUUUUUUCUUGGGGGUAUUACUCCUUGAAUUUGCUUCGUAACUACUGAACUUGUCUCCUAAUUCCAUGAAGAUUCUUCAUCAACUUUGAUAUCCCUGCUAGCUAUCAUCUUCUUGGUUUGAGGAUUGUAGAUGCUGUACCCCUUGGCAUUGUUAAAUACCCAACCAAAAUUCCAAUCUCAGCCCUCAGACUCAAUUUAUCCCUUUUUGCAUCAAGUAUAUGAAUAAAACAAAUGCUACCAAAUACUUUUAAGUGUGCAAUAUCAGGCUUAACUCCAUACCAAGCUUCAACUGGAGUUUUCUUUUCUAAGGCUUUUGUGGACAAUCUAUUGAGAAGAUAUAUUGCCAUGUUAACAGCUUCAGCCCAGAAUUCUUUUGAUUUUUUUUUUCAAACAUCAAACACUUAGCCAUCUCCAUCACUGUCCUAUUCUUUCUCUCACACACACCAUUUUGCUGAGGAGAAUAUAGAACAGUCAACUGGUGCUUGAUUCUCAUGGCAUCACAGAACCUGUCAAACUUAUCACAGCUGUAUUCAGUUCUAUUGUCGGUUCUAAUGGCUUUAAUCCUAUAACCACUUUCAUUCUCCACAAGAUUUUUAAAUUUUUGAAACACGGAUGCCACUUCAGAUUUCAACUUUAAUAAAUAAACCCAGCACAUUCUUGUCAAGUCAUCAAUAAAAAGAACAAAAUAUCUACUGCCAUUUAAAGUAGGAGUCCUCAAUGGACCACAAACGAAGCUCUUCUUGACUAAUUUUUGGGAAAUGGCAGUCUUGUUUGCUUCCCAAAUUGACAAACAUCACAUACUCAAGCAUCAUCAUUUAUAUCAGGCAUGUUCUUUACUAGAUCAAGUUUAUGCAAGUGCUUAAGUGAGGUGAAGUUUGCAUGGCCAAAUCAUUUGUGCCA
Molecule: long non-coding RNA, 1165 nt
Filed under: Olea europaea subsp. europaea
Lineage: Eukaryota; Viridiplantae; Streptophyta; Magnoliopsida; Lamiales; Oleaceae
Source: RNAcentral